CGGGGCGUAGCGCAGUCCGGUUAGCGCACCUGGUUUGGGACCAGGGGGUCGCAGGUUCGAAUCCUGCCGCCCGAC
This 75-nucleotide transfer RNA is filed under the name Bacteroidetes bacterium OLB9. Its description in RNAcentral is "tRNA-Pro". It matches the Rfam family "tRNA". From Rfam's summary of the family: Transfer RNA (tRNA) molecules are approximately 80 nucleotides in length. Lineage: Bacteria; Pseudomonadati; Bacteroidota. The record is from RNAcentral.